AGUGGUUUGGAGCUAUAUGUCUCUGAGUUAAGAAGUAAAUGGAACUCGAAUCUCAAAGCUGUCUGUCAGUGAGAAAAGGCAAUGACCACAAAAGGGGAGGAAAAUCUUAAACUCCACUGAAGUCAUUAGAAAUGAUGACUUGGCACCACUCUACACAUAACAUUGCAGGUGGAACUGCUGGGACAAAAACGGAGCCAGAUUGUGAAUCUCAC
This 212-nucleotide long non-coding RNA is filed under the name Struthio camelus australis. RNAcentral describes it as "lncRNA (ENSSCUG00000016316.1)". The record is from RNAcentral. Lineage: Eukaryota; Metazoa; Chordata; Aves; Struthioniformes; Struthionidae.